RNAcentral lists this ribosomal RNA (200 nucleotides) under uncultured prokaryote. RNAcentral's name for it is "partial 16S ribosomal RNA". It matches the Rfam family "Bacterial small subunit ribosomal RNA", at positions 525 to 724 of the family's 1533-position model. The record is from RNAcentral.
ACAGAGGUCCCGAGCGUUAGGCGGAAUCACUGGGCUUAAAGCGUGUGUAGGCGGAUCGUUAAGUGCCUUGUGAAAUCCCACGGCUUAACCGUGGAACUGCUUGGCAUACUGGCGGUCUUGAGCCACUUAGGGGCAACCGGAACAAAUGGUGGAGCGGUGAAAUGCGUAGAUAUCGGGAGGAACACCUGUGGCGAAAGCGG